RNAcentral lists this ribosomal RNA (497 nucleotides) under uncultured bacterium. RNAcentral's name for it is "partial 16S ribosomal RNA". It matches the Rfam family "Bacterial small subunit ribosomal RNA", at positions 28 to 507 of the family's 1533-position model. The record is from RNAcentral.
GAUGAACGCUGGCGGCGUGCCUAAUACAUGCAAGUCGAGCGAACAGAUGAGGAGCUUGCUCCUCUGACGUUAGCGGCGGACGGGUGAGUAACACGUGGAUAACCUACCUAUAAGACUGGGAUAACUUCGGGAAACCGGAGCUAAUACCGGAUAAUAUAUUGAACCGCAUGGUUCAAUAGUGAAAGACGGUUUUGCUGUCACUUAUAGAUGGAUCCGCGCCGCAUUAGCUAGUUGGUAAGGUAACGGCUUACCAAGGCAACGAUGCGUAGCCGACCUGAGAGGGUGAUCGGCCACACUGGAACUGAGACACGGUCCAGACUCCUACGGGAGGCAGCAGUAGGGAAUCUUCCGCAAUGGGCGAAAGCCUGACGGAGCAACGCCGCGUGAGUGAUGAAGGUCUUCGGAUCGUAAAACUCUGUUAUUAGGGAAGAACAAAUGUGUAAGUAACAAUGCACGUCUUGACGGUACCUAAUCAGAAAGCCACGGCUAACUACGUG